This 253-nucleotide ribosomal RNA is filed under the name uncultured bacterium. Its description in RNAcentral is "partial 16S ribosomal RNA". It matches the Rfam family "Bacterial small subunit ribosomal RNA", at positions 524 to 776 of the family's 1533-position model. The record is from RNAcentral.
UACGUAGGGGGCUAGCGUUGUCCGGAAUCAUUGGGCGUAAAGAGCGUGUAGGCGGCCAGGUAGGUCCGUUGUGAAAACUCGAGGCUCAACCUCGAGACGUCGAUGGAAACCAUCUGGCUAGAGUCCGGAAGAGGAGAGUGGAAUUCCUGGUGUAGCGGUGAAAUGCGCAGAUAUCAGGAAGAACACCUAUGGCGAAGGCAGCUCUCUGGGACGGUACUGACACUGAGGCGCGAAAGCGUGGGGAGCGAACAGG